This 430-nucleotide ribosomal RNA is filed under the name uncultured bacterium. Its description in RNAcentral is "partial 16S ribosomal RNA". It matches the Rfam family "Bacterial small subunit ribosomal RNA", at positions 352 to 774 of the family's 1533-position model. The record is from RNAcentral.
CAGUGGGGAAUAUUGGACAAUGGGCGAAAGCCUGAUCCAGCCAUGCCGCGUGUGUGAAGAAGGUCUUCGGAUUGUAAAGCACUUUAAGUUGGGAGGAAGGGCAUUAACCUAAUACGUUAGUGUUUUGACGUUACCGACAGAAUAAGCACCGGCUAACUCUGUGCCAGCAGCCGCGGUAAUACAGAGGGGGCAAGCGUUAAUCGGAAUUACUGGGCGUAAAGCGCGCGUAGGUGGUUUGUUAAGUUGGAUGUGAAAUCCCCGGGCUCAACCUGGGAACUGCAUUCAAAACUGACUGACUAGAGUAUGGUAGAGGGUGGUGGAAUUUCCUGUGUAGCGGUGAAAUGCGUAGAUAUAGGAAGGAACACCAGUGGCGAAGGCGACCACCUGGACUAAUACUGACACUGAGGUGCGAAAGCGUGGGGAGCAAACA